RNAcentral lists this long non-coding RNA (289 nucleotides) under Homo sapiens (human). Its description in RNAcentral is "HSALNT0175080". The record is from RNAcentral. Lineage: Eukaryota; Metazoa; Chordata; Mammalia; Primates; Hominidae.
GCCCAGCAACAAUCAUCUUUAUUCCUUGUGGGUCUGGUGGAGUACUAGGUUCAGCUAGGCAGUUCUCAUUCAGGGCCGCUCACACAGUUGCAGUCAGAGGCCAGGCCUGGUGUCCUCUUGAAGGCUUCCUCACAUCCACAUCACUUGCAGUGAUGCUGGUACCGCAGCUGGGGCCAGGGCCAGCUUCGUGGCCCCACAACUUGCAUGGCUGAGCAAGGUGCCACACUUGGAAGAGCCAUAUGCUUGGUUUAAAGCUCUAAAUUCUUAACUUUUUAACAGUACCCUCCAC